Molecule: ribosomal RNA, 650 nt
Filed under: uncultured archaeon
Lineage: Archaea
Description: bacterial SSU rRNA
Rfam family: Archaeal small subunit ribosomal RNA
Source: RNAcentral
AUUGCUAUUGGGAUUCGAUUUAGCCAUGCUAGUCGAACGAGUUCAGACUCGUGGCGAAUAGCUCAGUAACACGUGGCCAAGCUCCCCUUCAGUCAGCGAUACCCUCGGGAAACUGAGGUUAACAGUUGAUACAAAACGCCAGCUGGAAUGCGGCGUUUCAGAAAGACAUCGCUGAAGGAUGCGGCUGCGGCCGAUUAGGUAGACGGUGGGGUAACGGCCCACCGUGCCAGUAAUCGGUACGGGUGAUGAGAGUCAGAGCCCGGAGACGGAAUCUGAGACAAGAUUCCGGGCCCUACGGGGCGCAGCAGGCGCGAAACCUUUACACUGCACGGAAGUGCGAUAGGGGAAUCCCAAGUGCGAGGGCAUAUUAGCCCUCGCUUUUCUCGACUGUAAGGUGGUCGACGAAUAAGAGCUGGGCAAGACCGGUGCCAGCCGCCGCGGUAAUACCGGCAGCUCAAGUGAUGUCCCAUAUUAUUGGGCCUAAAGCGUCCGUAGCUGGCCGACCAAGUCUACCGGGAAAUCCACCCGCCCAACGGGUGGGCGUCCGGUAGAAACUGGCCGGCUUGGAACCGGAAGGCUCAGAGAGUACGUCCGGGGUAGGAGUGAAAUCCCGUAAUCCCGGACGGACUACCGAUGGCGAAAGCACUCUG